Xiphophorus couchianus (Monterrey platyfish) is the source of this 2273-nucleotide long non-coding RNA. RefSeq lists it as uncharacterized. The transcript is spliced from 2 exons. Lineage: Eukaryota; Metazoa; Chordata; Actinopteri; Cyprinodontiformes; Poeciliidae. The record is from RefSeq and is a predicted model, not a curated record.
ACACAGAAGUUUUCUAUUUUUAAUUAAUUUGUAAAACACUCCAAAAAAUCUUUUCACAUUCUCAUUUUCCCACUUUUAACACUUGGGCUUAAAACAUACUGUAUCUUUUCCCUUUUAAAGUUUAUGGUGAUUCUGCAAUAGGCUUAGGCUAUUGGAAGACAAAAAUGACCACUUUUUCUCAUGUUCUUAUUCUAGUCCUCUACUGUUAAAGUUUUGUUUUCUCUCAGUUAUUUUUCUUUCCAUAGAAGCUACACCUAGUCUGACAUUCCAUUUAGCUGUGAUUCCUUCCUGGAGGGGGCAUCAGCUGAGAUAAUGUUGCCUGUUGCCAUAGCAAAUUGUUCUCCCUUUCCUGAAAUUACCUUUUUUCUCUCAUGAACAUAAAAAAUAAUUCUAUAUCACUUCAUCAAUUUCUUCUUAAUUCACAUUAAUGUUAGGCUUAUGCAAUUAUUAAUAAUUACAAUUAAUAAUUUAUUCUUAAUGAGAUUAUUAAUAAAAUUUAAAUUCAUUCUGUAAUUUAACUCUUUCAUUAAAUUACAGAAUGAAUCUAAUCAGUAGUUAGAUUUCAUGUAAUCUAACUACUGACAAGACAAAAGGAAUAUGUAGAACAAUAAAAUGGGAAUCAAAUCAGAUUAAUGAAUGAGCUAUGACAAAAUGGAACUCGAAUACUGAAAAAUUUAUCUCAAGCCCAACUAUCUAAUAAACAAGAAAAAGGAAAAAACAGUUGCACAACCAUAAAUGCAGCAUACAGUAUUGUAAAACAGAAUAACUGUUAUGUCCUGAGAGUUGUUUCACAAAAGUAGGAUUCCAAAAUCCAGGAUAAGAGACAAAGUCAGGCUGGACUUAGCGCCAGCAGUUCAUCCUGCCUUUAUCAAAUUCACAAAGAAAAACCAGGUUCAAGAGGUGUGACUAUUUCGAGCCAAACUCAAAUAAUUUAGGCGAAUGCACAACAGAUUUCUUCAACAGACUAUGAGAUUGAUCACAGACUCACUGAUUCUAGAUAAACUGCGUACACCAUACCGCACACCAAUCAAACAACACCUUUUGAUUUAGGAUUAUGAGGAACUGAAGCACAACAUACUAAAGAAAAACAAACUGCUGCUACAAUAGCAAACAAUCGGAGAUAAUGUGUAAUUAGCCUAAAAUAUACAUUUCUUAACCAUUCUUAACUGAAAACAACAUACCUGUCAUACUUGUCAUUUGCUCAAAUAAACAACUUUAACCUGGUCUGAAUAUUUCAGAAACUGCUGAUCUGGAUUUUCACGUUCAACCAUGUCUAGGGUUUACAGAGAAUGGUCUGAAAAAGAGAAAAUAUCCAGUGAGCGUCAGUUCUGUGGGCUCUGUGGGUUGAUGCCAGAAGUCAGAGGAGAAUGGCCAGACUGGUUUAAGUUGAUAGAAUGGGAACAGUAACUCAAAUAACCUCUCGGUAUGCAGAAGAGUAUCUCUGAACACACAACGUGUCAAACCUUGAGGCAGAUGGGCUACAGCAGCAUAAGACCACACUGUGUACCACUCCUGUCAGCUGAGAACAGGAAACUGAGGCUACAAUUUGCGAAGGCUCACCAAAACUGGACAAUAGAAGAUUGGAAAAACGUUGCCUGGUCUGAUGAGUCUUGAUUUCUGCUGCAACAUUCGGAUGGUAGGGUCAGAAUUUGGCGUCAACAACAUGAAAGCAUGGAUCCAUACUGCCUUGUGUCAAUGGUUCAGGCUGAUGGUGGUGGUGUGGGGGAUAUUUUCCUGGCAUACUUUGGACCCAUUAGUACCAAUUGAGCAUCAUGUCAAUGCCACAGCCUACCUGAGUAUUGUUGCUGACCAUGUCCAUUCCUUAUGACUACAAUGUACCAAUCUUCUGAUGGCUACUUCCAGCAGGAUAAUGCACCAUGUUAUAAAGUGCAAAUCAUCUCAGACUGGUUUCGUGAACACGACAAUGAGUUCACUGUGCUCGAAUGGAAUCCACAGUCACCAGGGGCCUCAUGUAUAAAGGGUGCGUGCGCACAAAAAUGUGCGGCGCUACAUUUUACACACAAGUUGGCAUGUCUAAAAAUUUUGCGUCAAAGUUUGCAUAAAUACAUAUGCACCUUUUUGCUGGCGUGAAAAUGUGCGGCAGCCACGCAAACUUUUUCUGUGGACAAUAUCAAACUACAAAGCGUCAAAACUCACCUAAAUACACUGAAGUCUGACUACAUUCAAUGUUAUUUAGACCAAGGAGCACCAAACCCGAUGUUUUUCAUGAUUUUAAUAUUUUAUUGUUUAAACGUAAACAAUGAAACUGAACC